RNAcentral lists this ribosomal RNA (465 nucleotides) under uncultured bacterium. Its description in RNAcentral is "bacterial SSU rRNA". It matches the Rfam family "Bacterial small subunit ribosomal RNA", at positions 338 to 795 of the family's 1533-position model. The record is from RNAcentral.
CCUACGGGUGGCAGCAGUGGGGAAUAUUGCACAAUGGGCGCAAGCCUGAUGCAGCCAUGCCGCGUGUGUGAAGAAGGCCUUCGGGUUGUAGAGCACUUUCAGCGGGGAGGAAGGCGGUGAGGUUAAUAACCUCAUCGAUUGACGUUACCCGCAGAAGAAGCACCGGCUAACUCCGUGCCAGCAGCCGCGGUAAUACGGAGGGUGCAAGCGUUAAUCGGAAUUACUGGGCGUAAAGCGCACGCAGGCGGUCUGUCAAGUCGGAUGUGAAAUCCCCGGGCUCAACCUGGGAACUGCAUUCGAAACUGGCAGGCUAGAGUCUUGUAGAGGGGGGUAGAAUUCCAGGUGUAGCGGUGAAAUGCGUAGAGAUCUGGAGGAAUACCGGUGGCGGAGGCGGCCCCCUGGACAACGACUGACGCUCAGGUGCAAAAGCGUGGGGAGCAAACAGGAUUAGAUACCCGCGUAGUC